AUUGUCACAAGAUCCACGCGUGUA
This 24-nucleotide non-coding RNA is filed under the name Arabidopsis thaliana (thale cress). Lineage: Eukaryota; Viridiplantae; Streptophyta; Magnoliopsida; Brassicales; Brassicaceae. The record is from RNAcentral.